This 1409-nucleotide long non-coding RNA is filed under the name Sus scrofa (pig). Its description in RNAcentral is "lncRNA (ENSSSCG00015069460.1)". Lineage: Eukaryota; Metazoa; Chordata; Mammalia; Artiodactyla; Suidae. The record is from RNAcentral.
CACAUACGGAAGUUCUCAGGCUAGAGGUCAAAUUGGAGCUGCAGCUACUGGCCUACACCACGGCCACAACACCAUGGNGGGCUGUGUCUGCAAUCUAUACCACAGCUCAGGACAAUGCCACAUCCUUAACCUACUGAGUCAGCCCACCCAUAUCCUCCUGGAUACUAGUUGAGUUCAUUAGCAACUGAGCCACAACAGGAACUCCUCUAAUAAAAUCUUUAAAAAGAAAAGAAAAGCAAUGGUGCAGUCAGUUACAUUUAGUUUGUUAGUUGCAUCAGACAUGCAUUCAUUGCCUUUCAAGGUGUUUUUGGCUUAUAAGAAAUAGUUCUGUAGUAAUGUAAACAUGCCCUUCAUUAUCAAUUUCCUGAUGAGAAUUCAAACUAGAUACACAACUUCCAUGGUCAUCAACAGGCUUUUUCACUCAAAGUUAAGUUUCCAACUUUCUGGAGGUUGAUGUGAUUGGGGUAUAGUAACCUGUGAAUAUAUUUGAGUCUUGAAUUUUUCCCCCCUGGUACUGAAUCCACAUCAAUGAUCAAUUAUAAAUUUAUAGACAAUAAAUUAAGUCCAGAACCAUUGUUGUAGCUAAACAGGUGCUGCAUUUCUUUUUGUUCAUGUGUAUUUUUAUUAGCAUCAUGUAUCAGUGGGAAUCCACUGAAACGUUGUUCCUUAGAGAAAAAUCACUUGCUUUUCCUUGAUGAAGCAUGGCAGCAAUUCCAUGCCAAUAUGCCCUUUAGUCCUUAGGAGGACCUAAAUAAGCCCAGGGGUGAGGGAAGGGUGAGAAAGAGAAGAGAGCCAUAUGCCUUGCCCCAUGUCCCCGCAAACAGGUGUACCAGGUGAGAGACCUCCUGGUUCUGUUCUGCUCUAGGUCAGGCAGGGUUGACUCCUGGAAGAGUUAGAAUAAUAUAAUGUACUCUUUGACCAGUCUUUUCUUUUUUUUUAAAAUAUUAUUCAUUUAUAACAGAGAAUUGGCUGCUUACUCAUUCCAUUCCUGGGAAUCAUGAUGACAGUGAAUAACCUACAUUUAUUGUAUUUGAAAGCCAAGUUUUGGGUAGGAGAGUACUGUUCAUCAGUCAAAAUUUGUCCUGCCACUCUACGUGUGAAUUUCCUGUCUGGAAUGACUUUAAUGGGGAAGAAAAAAAAGCAAUAAACCAAAAGAUGACGAAAAUACUGCUCCUGUUCUCAAUGAAGGCCUUUAUCACAUUAUCAAAGUAAGAAUUUCUCUCAUGCUUUUUAAAAAAAGAGAGUGGGUUUUGGUCAUAACCUACUUCAGGCAUCCAGUGGGCUCUGACUUAAUUUUUGGUUAUUUCUCCCUCCGAAGUGGGAGCAAACAUAAGUGGUAAAAAUACUAUUAAAUGUACUGUUAUCCUCUAUGCAAUCACACAGCAACAAAUGAAAACACAGAAGUAAAC